This 357-nucleotide ribosomal RNA is filed under the name Diaphana minuta. RNAcentral describes it as "partial 16S ribosomal RNA". It matches the Rfam family "Archaeal large subunit ribosomal RNA", at positions 2000 to 2655 of the family's 2987-position model. Lineage: Eukaryota; Metazoa; Mollusca; Gastropoda; Cephalaspidea; Diaphanidae. The record is from RNAcentral.
UUUAAUGGCCGCGGUACCUUGACCGUGCUAAGGUAGCAUAAUCAGUUGACUUUUAAAUGGAGUCUGGAAUGAACGGGUAAACGGGAUUAAGCUGUCUCUAUUAUUAUAUUUUUAAUUUACUAAUUAGGUGAAAAGGCCUAAAAAUGCAAAAAGACGAGAAGACCCUUAGAGUUUUAAAAAUUUAUUUUUGUUGGGGCGACAAAGAAUCUUAACAUUCUUAACUUAUAAGACGUAUUUUUUAAUGGGUAAAUAAACUACCUAAGGGAUAACAGCAUAAUCUUUAAUAGGUUUGUGACCUCGAUGUUGGACUAGGAAGCUUAUAGGCUAGCCGCCUAUAAUGGGAGAUUCUGUUCGAAU